Molecule: ribosomal RNA, 473 nt
Filed under: uncultured soil bacterium
Lineage: Bacteria
Description: bacterial SSU rRNA
Rfam family: Bacterial small subunit ribosomal RNA
Source: RNAcentral
AGGACGAACGCUGGCGGCGUGCUUAACACAUGCAAGUCGUGGGGGGUAGCAAUACCUCACCGGCGAACGGGUGCGUAACACGUGAGCAACCUACCUCGAUGCGGGGGAUAGCCGGCCCAACGGCCGGGUAAUACCGCAUACGAUCUUCGAGAGGAGUCUCUUGAAGAAGAAACCCUUCGGGGGCAUUGAGAGGGGCUCGCGGCCUAUCAGCUAGUUGGUGAGGUAACGGCUCACCAAGGCUAUGACGGGUAGCUGGUCUGAGAGGAUGGCCAGCCACAUUGGGACUGAGAGACGGCCCAGACUCCUACGGGAGCAGCAGUGGGAAUCUGCGCAAUGGACGAAAGUCUGACGCAGCGACGCCGCGUGCGGAGGAAGCUCGUCGGGUGUAAACCGCUGUUCGCCGGAACGAACGCCUUUUCGAGAGGCUUGACGGUACGGUGAGGAGCGCCGGCUAACUCUGUGCCAGCAGCCGC